Molecule: non-coding RNA, 1120 nt
Filed under: Clostridium magnum DSM 2767
Lineage: Bacteria; Bacillati; Bacillota; Clostridia; Eubacteriales; Clostridiaceae
Description: Bacterial large subunit ribosomal RNA
Rfam family: Bacterial large subunit ribosomal RNA
Source: Rfam by way of RNAcentral
CAAAAACACAGGUCUCUGCUAAAGCGAAAGCUGAAGUAUAGGGGCUGACGCCUGCCCGGUGCUGGAAGGUUAAGGGGAAUACUUAGCGCAAGCGAAGGUAUGAACUUAAGCCCCAGUAAACGGCGGCCGUAACUAUAACGGUCCUAAGGUAGCGAAAUUCCUUGUCGGGUAAGUUCCGACCCGCACGAAUGGCGUAAUGAUUUGGGCACUGUCUCGACAACAAAUCCGGCGAAAUUGUAUUGCGAGUGAAGAUGCUCGCUACCCGCGAUUGGACGGAAAGACCCCGUAGAGCUUUACUGUAGCUUAGCAUUGAAUUUCGGUAUUGUCUGUACAGGAUAGGUGGGAGACUGAGAAACAAGGGCGUCAGCCUUUGUGGAGUCAACCUUGGGAUACCACCCUGACAGUACUGGGAUUCUAACCGGCGGCCAUGAAACUGGUCACGGGACAUUGUUAGGUGGGCAGUUUGACUGGGGCGGUCGCCUCCAAAAAAGUAACGGAGGCGCCCAAAGGUUCCCUCAGAACGGUUGGAAAUCGUUCGAAGAGUGCAAAGGCAGAAGGGAGCCUGACUGCGACACAAACAAGUGGAGCAGGGACGAAAGUCGGGGCUUAGUGAUCCGGUGGUUCCUCGUGGGAGGGCCAUCGCUCAACGGAUAAAAGCUACCUCGGGGAUAACAGGCUGAUCUCCCCCAAGAGUCCACAUCGACGGGGAGGUUUGGCACCUCGAUGUCGGCUCGUCGCAUCCUGGGGCUGAAGUAGGUCCCAAGGGUUGGGCUGUUCGCCCAUUAAAGCGGCACGCGAGCUGGGUUCAGAACGUCGUGAGACAGUUCGGUCCCUAUCCGUCGCGGGCGUAGGAAAUUUGAGAGGAGCUGUCCUUAGUACGAGAGGACCGGGAUGGACUGACCUCUGGUGCACCAGUUGUUCCGCCAGGAGCACAGCUGGGUAGCUAUGUCAGGACGGGAUAAACGCUGAAAGCAUCUAAGCGUGAAGCCCACCUCAAGAUAAGAUUUCCCAUAGCAUAAGCUAGUAAGACCCCUUGAAGAACACAAGGUUGAUAGGUUAGAGGUGUAAGCAUGGUAACAUGUUCAGCUGACUAAUACUAAUAGGUCGAGGGCUUGACCUA